GAGCCAGUGUGUGCCCAGGGGGCCAAGAAGGCCAAUGGCAUCCUGGGCUGGAUCAGCAGUAGUGUGGCCAGCAGGACCAGGAGAAUG
Non-coding RNA from Sturnus vulgaris (Common starling), 87 nucleotides. The record is from RefSeq and is a predicted model, not a curated record. NCBI's taxonomy places the organism in Eukaryota, Metazoa, Chordata, Aves, Passeriformes, Sturnidae.